This 31-nucleotide non-coding RNA is filed under the name Mus musculus (house mouse). Lineage: Eukaryota; Metazoa; Chordata; Mammalia; Rodentia; Muridae. The record is from RNAcentral.
UCCUAUGAUGCAGGCCUUACAAGGAGCAGUU